AUUGAACGCUGGCGGCAUGCCUUACACAUGCAAGUCGAACGGUAACGGGCCUUCGGGUGCCGACGAGUGGCGAACGGGUGAGUAAUACAUCGGAACGUGCCCGAUCGUGGGGGAUAACGAGGCGAAAGCUUUGCUAAUACCGCAUACGAUCUACGGAUGAAAGCAGGGGACCGCAAGGCCUUGCGCGGACGGAGCGGCCGAUGGCAGAUUAGGUAGUUGGUGGGAUAAAAGCUUACCAAGCCGACGAUCUGUAGCUGGUCUGAGAGGAUGAUCAGCCACAUGGGGACGAAGACACGCCCCAGCCUCCUGGGGGGGGAGCAGGUGGGGAUUUUUGGACAAGGGGCGAAGGCCGGACCCACCAAUGCCGCGUGAAGAAGGAGGGUCUUGGGGUUGAAAAUUGUUUUGUAACGGAAGAAAAAGCUUUUUUUAAAAACGGGGGGGCAAGAAGGGAACGGAAAAAAAAAGCCCCGGCAAACUAGGUC
RNAcentral lists this ribosomal RNA (482 nucleotides) under uncultured bacterium. Its description in RNAcentral is "partial 16S ribosomal RNA". It matches the Rfam family "Bacterial small subunit ribosomal RNA", at positions 29 to 507 of the family's 1533-position model. The record is from RNAcentral.